CCAAACGGCGCUAAGUACUAUUCACUGUCUUCUUCGCCCAAAAUUCGUUCCCAAACUCGCCAAAAUUCAGGCGAGUGAACCCAAACUCCUCCUCACUCGCCCGAUUUCGAGCUAUAUCACGCGAUUGGAAGGUUCUGGAGGACGAGCGUUGGAUGAGUGAGAGGUGUUGGAUCGAUUUCACUCAAUCCGAGCUCACAUUCAUCAGAUGCUUGUUUUCAAAAGGACCUCAUUCGAUUUUGUAAAGGACAUAGAUUUUCGGGGAAAACAGGGAGAGAAAAGGUUGAAGGAUUUUUCUUUCUUUGGCUUUUCAUUUUUUUCUCUGAAAGCUUCUUUUAAAGGUUUGAAGAAGAAUACACAAAUUUUCUUUUUAAUUGUUAAUCUGACUUUGGGUUCCAAAGACAUGAAAAAUGAACUAAGGUCUAUUGAUUGUUCGUGAGGUUCAAGUUCGUCGACUUCUUGUUCUACUGUUGUCCUGCUAAUUUGCUGCUGAACCUUGCUAGGAUUUGGAGUCAAAAGGUGUAUUGUUGAUUCUAUAAUUAAUAAAGGAAGUUUGCAAUUUCAGGUUUGAUCUUUUCUCCUCUGUAACUCUGUUUUUUUUAGGUGUUCUUGAGCGAUGGGAUUUCUGUCUUUAGAAUGGUUUGGUCUUUGUUCUGUGAUCAAACUUCAUGGAGGAGUCGAGCUUGGGUUGAUCAUUUAGUCUCGAUUCGUAUUCGAAAGCGAUAUUCGAUAUGUUAUUUUGCCAAUGAAUCCCCUUCUCACUGGUUUGAUGUGUUGAGCAUUGUUCAGUCAAUAGGAGCUGAUUUGAGUGGUUGUCUUCUAUUCCUUAUAUGCUGUAAUUGUUAUUAUGGGGUCGAAAUAUAUUGAGUCAAGAUUUUAUCGCUUUCAAAUGAACGAUGUGUUCAGUUUUUUGUGAUUUUUAAGCGAGCAUGAAUCCAUGAUGCUUAUUCUCGUGAUGUUUGUUUUCCGGACUCUAAAUGAUUUGUUCUUGUGAAAUCUUCCUCAUCUACUAGAAGCUUUAAACUAGAACCAACCUCUUUAUUCGAGUAGUUGGUUUUUCAAAGUUUUGUUGGUCAGAAUUUUUGGUCAUGUUGUUAAGGAAAGACCGCUUCAUAAGAUGAGCUUUCCUUGUGUUUCUUCUAUUGCAUAUGACAUGCUUUGAUAUUCAAGGAUAUUUGCUUGUAUCUUAUGUCUUGGUCUCAAUAUAUUCGACAUGAAUCACUGAAGAGUUUCCCCUUUCUCUGAUUUCAUGAUCAUUUUUGCAUGUUUUUGCUGGUUUGAAGCUGCUGAAGUUCCCUUUUGAUAAUAUUUGCUCUUUGAGGCUCACCAUGUUGAAAGGAUCCAUGUUUUUUUUAGCAUGUAAAUUCUGUCAUUGAACUCCAGAAUAUCAUAUGAAGCUUGUGUAAUAGUGUGGAUUUGCUUUCUUUGAGAUCAUUUUGCAUUUGCCAGUCGAGCUAUAUGCCUUUGUCCAUUCUGAUAAGCAUUGUAUUUUAGGUACAAAGUCGCGUUGAGUUCUGUUGAAAUUGCCAUGAGCCAGCUACCUUGUUUAACAUUCUUUGUGGGCUUGAGUGCCCUUUCAAUUGUCUUGACUCGCCAAUUCAGGCUGUCCCUAUGUCCUGGAAUUCUGAAUUCAAUUAAGAAUGAACCUAGGAGUUUGACACGAAUUGAGACCUAGAAUACCUAAACAGUUCCUUCCGAUGGCUUUGAUUCAUAUUUUGGCGUUGUUGUUUACUGAUUCUGGUCCUUGACUUGUUCAAAUGUGUAUUCGUUUGGUUUUACUAAUUGUUUAGUUAGAUUUUAUAUUGCUUUCAUGUUCUUUAAUU
RNAcentral lists this long non-coding RNA (1820 nucleotides) under Nicotiana tabacum (common tobacco). Its description in RNAcentral is "long non-coding RNA (NTAB_LNC006551)". The record is from RNAcentral. Lineage: Eukaryota; Viridiplantae; Streptophyta; Magnoliopsida; Solanales; Solanaceae.